This 475-nucleotide ribosomal RNA is filed under the name Chrysotila carterae. RNAcentral describes it as "partial Bacterial large subunit ribosomal RNA". It matches the Rfam family "Bacterial large subunit ribosomal RNA", at positions 316 to 787 of the family's 2925-position model. Lineage: Eukaryota; Haptophyta; Isochrysidales; Isochrysidaceae. The record is from RNAcentral.
UUGUGUGUUGUUGUUAGGUGAAGUGGUUUGGAAUGACCUGCCGGAGAAGGUGAGAGUCCUGUAGUUGAAGACAAUGGCAUGCAGGUUGUUGGGUUGCCCGAGUAGCAGCGGGCUCGUGGAAUCUGCUGUGAAUCUGCCGGGACCACCCGGUAAGCCUAAAUACUCAGUGUGACCGAUAGUGUAUUAGUACCGUGAGGGAAUGGUGAAAAGUACCCCGGGAGGGGAGUGAAAUAGUACCUGAAACCGUGUGCCUACAAUCCGUUGGAGCCUCCCUAGCAGGGGUGACAGCGUGCCUUUUGAAGAAUGAGCCUGCGAGUUAGUGGUACGUGGCGAGGUUAACCCGUGUGGGGUAGCCGUAGGGAAACCGAAUCCUAAUGGGGUGUCAAGUGGCAUGUCCUGGACCCGAAGCGGGGUGAUCUACCCAUGGCCAGUGUGAAGCAGCUGUAAGAGGUUGUGGAGGCGCGAACCCACGUAG